GUUGGGACUACACAUGUGCCAUCACACUCAGCUUUUGUCUGUGAUCCAUGUGGAAACCAUUCUUCUGUGUAUAGUGUAAGGGAAACCACCUUUGCUUUGACAUAUGUGUGUAAACGGUAUUGUCUGUCGAACGUUGCCUCGUGAGUCAUAAAAAGAAACAUCCCAGCCUCUUUGUUAAGAGAAGUGCUGUCAAGUAAGUAGUAGAGUUAUAUGAGUGAGACAGAAAAUAAAAUUCCACCUCCAACAACCUCUGAAAUGGGAGGUGGGUCAUUCAGACACCAUUUCUUCAUGAACUGCUGCCCUGUUCCUCUACCCAGUCCACAGAGGAAAGGCAAUAGCAGGGCAUUUCCUUGUGUCCUUCAAGCUCUCCCUGGCUCUCCUGUGCACGUGAAAAGACACCCACAGAAGCUCAGGGGUGACUGCAGCCCAUACUCUGUAGCCCUCUACCUGGGCCAGCUGCCCCGGACAAUUGCACCUGAUAGCUUUUCCAGAGCAGAGCAGCCAGAGAGGUGACAAAGAAUGAAAGCACUGAAAAAUGUCAACCUGGGAAGCAAAUGUGAAACCCAUUUCCAAACAGGGAAGGCAAGGAGAAAAGCAAGUCACAUCAGAACAGAGAUGGGGGAGAAACCCCUCUGAGUCUUAAAAGAGAAGGGUUGCAAUUAAGAUGGAAUUAGGAAGUAGAAAAAGAAGCAGAAUGCAAGAUUUAAGCCCAUUUCAAAGCUUUUCAGAAACCAGACUCAAGGCAGCUUUAAAGCAUUCUGAAUUUUUAAAAUCAGAACACAUAUUCGUAUCAUUACUUCAAAAAGCAAAGACACAACAGUGAAAAACCUUUUAUUGCUCUUGGAAGUAAAAUCUAAUAGCCUUCAUCUAUUUGGAGCAUGAGGUGGAAAGGAAAGUGGUAAAAGGGUAAAAAUCAAGUGUUCUAGAGUUAGGGUUAGUUUUCUUUUUUCAAGCUCUAGUUCACACUCAUCUUGAAUUUUCUGAAGCCUGUAGUUAUGAUCCCAUUGUGAACAUAUACAACAAAAAAUGUCAAAUAAAACAUUAUUACAACUUUCAAUAUAAGACAGCAGAGAGUAAACAGUGCCUGAUUUUCUCUCUUCCAGACUAUUUACAUUCUUACGAACAGACACAAGUCUACACAAAAUGACAAGCGCACAUUUCGGUGGCAACAGAUCAGCUGCUUCAGAAAUUUAUCUGGCUUGGGGAAGAGAUAUUAUUAACAAAAGCAAAUAUGGAACCACUCUGAGGAAUUACCAGCAGCUGAUGUAAAUUUUCACCUCAGAAACAGACCAGGUCCAGGGAGAAAAAAACUAGAGAGGUUUUGAUUCUCCUCCCACCGUCUGCCUUUCUUUUCCAAAGAAUAGAGAGCCUGCCCCAACUGGAAAAUCAGGUAGCUUCUCCCACACAGGAAGGGAUCUGCUGCCUGAGGCAGAAAGGGCUGCUUGGGUGCCUCUGUCCCCAGUGCCCCUUCAUUUCUGUCUUCCUACAUCCUCUUGAGAUUACAUGUUGAUUACAUUAUAUUCUAUUGUAUCGUACUACAUAAUACAGCAACACUGAAAGAAUGAAAGGAAACGGGAAAGGGAGUGAAUUGGCCUUUGCACCCUGAGGAUAGGAAGAGGGUGGUGGAUACUGGGACAGCCUGGUGGACCCAGCCCUCCCAGGGUUAUUAGAUGACAUUUGUCACGUACCAUUCCUGGCAGCAGCGGCAGGUCAGGGUGACCAGGAUCACCUAGGAAUGCAUGUACUUCUGACAGUCAUGAAACCAAGGCAUGAGAGCAAGAGAUAGUUUUGGGGUCUGGUAUCCAAAAAUUCAAAUUAGUAAAUUUCAUGUUAUGUGUAUUUUAUCACAAUUAAAAAAAAAAACUCAAACUUUAAACAUUCAGAGAUUUGUUUAAGGGGUAUAUGGCUCUGGUAUCCAUAAUGCUGUAAAAAGGGAAAUCUUUUAGUCCCUGAGGUGGACAGCAGCAAGUCCUAAGUCCUCCAAUCUGAUAAGCAUAGUGGGACAGAGGACUCCUCACUUGAGGACAUCUAGGUCGAAAACAAACAAAAAAAAUCACAAAACUUAUGAAAAUAUUCUAUAAUGUAGGAGGAGGCUAUUGCUCUUAAAAUGCAGAGAAAAAUCAUACUUUUGAAAAACAGUUAACUACAAGAAACAGGAAAUCUUUAGAAAACAUUCCCUUGGUGGACUCAAUGAAAUAUAAGAAAACACAAAAUAACAAAUGGAAAGUGAGAUGUAAAAGGCUACUUAAAUGCUUUCUGAGAUGUAAACUGAUACAGUAAGGUUCAGGCUGAGAGAAGAAAAUAAUUGUAAAGAAUAAAAAUGUAACCAAUUUACUGUUUUUGAUAGAGCACAACAGAGAAGUGACACUUCGGAAAAGUAAUUCAGUAACAUGGAAGACAAAUUUGAGAAGCCAUCCCAGAAAGCAGAGGAAAAAGACAAAGCCAAAAUCUGAAAGAGAAAUAAAGUUAUUAACUUGGGGAGGGGAUGGUGAAGAAAAGGCAGAAUAAGAACUAUGCGAGACAGAAAACAAAGAUUCACUUCACAAAAUAGAGGAAAAAUGUCUACAAAGCUUUAAGAAUAAAAAGAAAAAAAGG
RNAcentral lists this long non-coding RNA (2595 nucleotides) under Homo sapiens (human). RNAcentral describes it as "HSALNT0356683". The record is from RNAcentral. Lineage: Eukaryota; Metazoa; Chordata; Mammalia; Primates; Hominidae.